RNAcentral lists this small RNA (275 nucleotides) under Nannospalax galili (Upper Galilee mountains blind mole rat). RNAcentral's name for it is "7SK RNA (ENSNGAG00000007144.1)". It matches the Rfam family "7SK RNA", at positions 1 to 288 of the family's 331-position model. Rfam says of the family: 7SK was discovered as an abundant small nuclear RNA in the mid-70s but a possible function has only recently been suggested. Two independent studies have found that 7SK RNA binds the CDK9/cyclin T complex (known as elongation factor P-TEFb). The record is from RNAcentral. Lineage: Eukaryota; Metazoa; Chordata; Mammalia; Rodentia; Spalacidae.
UGAUUUGUGAGGGUGAUCUGGCUGAGACAUCUGUCACCCCAUUGAUCUCCAGAGUUGAUUCAGCUCUUGAUCUGGCUGGCAAGGUGGGUAUACCCUUCCUCCCUCAAUAUUCCACCUACCUCCCAAAGCUGCACACUUGUUUGAAGAGAAUUACCUUCUCUGAUAGAAGAGGAUGGGAUUCUCAGUGAAAAAUAUUCUAGUAGCUGUGUUCCUUUUUUAAAACCUCCAAACAAGUUCUCAAGGAUGUAUAAUUUCUUACCUUUCAAUAGCACUAU